GACGAACGCUGGCGGCGUGCUUAACACAUGCAAGUCGAACGGUGAAGCGCCUUCCUUUUUGGUGGGUGUGGAUGAGUGGCGAACGGGUGAGUAACACGUGAGUAACCUGCCCCCUUCUUCUGGAUAACCGCAUGAAAGUGUGGCUAAUACGGGAUAUUCUGGGUCUGUCGCAUGAUGGGUCUGGGAAAGAUAUUGUUUCGGUGGGGGAUGGGCUCGCGGCCUAUCAGCUUGUUGGUGGGGUGAUGGCCUACCAAGGCGGUGACGGGUAGCCGACCUGAGAGGGUGGACGGUCACACUGGGACGGAGACACGGCCCAGACUCCUACGGGAGGCAGCAGUGGGGAAUAUUGCACAAUGGGCGCAAGCCUGAUGCAGCGACGCCGCGUGAGGGAUGGAGGCCUGCGGGUUGUGAACCUCUUUCGCCAGUGAAGCAGGCCUGCCUCGUUUGUGGGUGGGUUGACGGUAGCUGGAGAAGAAGCGCCGGCUAACUACGUG
RNAcentral lists this ribosomal RNA (494 nucleotides) under uncultured bacterium. Its description in RNAcentral is "partial 16S ribosomal RNA". It matches the Rfam family "Bacterial small subunit ribosomal RNA", at positions 28 to 507 of the family's 1533-position model. The record is from RNAcentral.